GACGAACGCUGGCGGCGUGCUUAACACAUGCAAGUCGAACGGAAAGGCCCUGCUUUUGUGGGGUGCUCGAGUGGCGAACGGGUGAGUAACACGUGAGUAACCUGCCCUUGACUUUGGGAUAACUUCAGGAAACUGGGGCUAAUACCGGAUAGGAGCUCCUGCUGCAUGGUGGGGGUUGGAAAGUUUCGGCGGUUGGGGAUGGACUCGCGGCUUAUCAGCUUGUUGGUGGGGUAGUGGCUUACCAAGGCUUUGACGGGUAGCCGGCCUGAGAGGGUGACCGGCCACAUUGGGACUGAGGUACGGCACAGACUCCUACGGGAGGCAGCAGUGGGGAAUAUUGCACAAUGGGCGGAAGCCUGAUGCAGCAACGCCGCGUGCGGGAUGACGGCCUUCGGGUUGUAAACCGCUUUAGCCUGUGACGAAGCGUGAGUGACGGUAAUGGGUAAAGAAGCAACGGCUAACUACGUG
RNAcentral lists this ribosomal RNA (468 nucleotides) under uncultured bacterium. RNAcentral's name for it is "partial 16S ribosomal RNA". It matches the Rfam family "Bacterial small subunit ribosomal RNA", at positions 28 to 507 of the family's 1533-position model. The record is from RNAcentral.